UGCAGUCGAACGGUAGCACAGAGGAGCUUGCUCCUUGGGUGACGAGUGGCGGACGGGUGAGUAAUGUCUGGGAAACUGCCCGAUGGAGGGGGAUAACUACUGGAAACGGUAGCUAAUACCGCAUAACGUCGCAAGACCAAAGUGGGGGACCUUCGGGCCUCACACCAUCAGAUGUGCCCAGAUGGGAUUAGCUAGUAUGUGGGGUAAUGGCUCACCUACGCGACGAUCCCUAUCUGGUCUGAGAGGAUGACCAGCCACACUGGAUCUGACACACGGUCCACACUCCUACGGGAGGCAGCAGUGGGGAAUAUUGCACAGUGGGCGCACGCCUGAUGCACCCGUGCCGCGUGUAUGAAGAACGCCUUCGGGUUGUAAAGUACUUUCAGUGGGGAGGAACGCGUUAAUGUUAAUAGCCUUGGCGAUUGACGUUACCCGCAGAAGACGCACCGGCUAACUCCGUGCCAGCAGCCGCGGUAAUACAGAGGGUGCACGCGUUAAUCAGAAUUACUGGGCGUAAAGCGCACGCACGCGGUCUGUCAUGUCAGAUGUGAAAUCCCCGGGCUCAACCUGAGAACUGCUUUCAAAACUGGCACGCUAGACUCUUGUAGAGGGGGGUAGAAUUCCAUGUGUAGCGGUGAUAUGCGUAGAGAUCUGGAAGAAUACCGGU
Molecule: ribosomal RNA, 667 nt
Filed under: Erwinia sp. MYb147
Lineage: Bacteria; Pseudomonadati; Pseudomonadota; Gammaproteobacteria; Enterobacterales; Erwiniaceae
Description: bacterial SSU rRNA
Rfam family: Bacterial small subunit ribosomal RNA
Source: RNAcentral